This 355-nucleotide unclassified non-coding RNA is filed under the name soil metagenome. Its description in RNAcentral is "partial contains 5.8S ribosomal RNA, internal transcribed spacer 2, and large subunit ribosomal RNA". The stretch from base 1 to 120 matches the Rfam family "5.8S ribosomal RNA", at positions 35 to 154 of the family's 154-position model. The record is from RNAcentral.
GAUGAAGAACGCAGCGAAAUGCGAUAAGUAAUGCGAAUUGCAGAAUUCAGUGAAUCAUCGAAUCUUUGAACGCACAUUGCGCCCGCCAGUACUCUGGCGGGCAUGCCUGUCUGAGCGUCAUUUCAACCCUCGCGCCCGGCUUCUGUCGGGGGCGGUGUUGGGGAUCGGCCUCCCGUCUUCCGGGCGGCCGGCCCCUAAAUGGAGUGGCGACCGCGCCGUAGCCUCCUCUGCGUAGUAGUGAAACACUCGCGGGCGGAGAGCGGUGCGGCCCGCCGUAAAACCCCCAACUCUUCUAAGGUUGACCUCAGAUCAGGUAGGAAUACCCGCUGAACUUAAGCAUAUCAAUAACGGAGGA